GGGUAGCAAUACCCAGUGGCAGACGGGUGAGUAACAUGUGGGUACCUUCCCUUUGGUGAGGAAUAACACGAGGAAACUUGUGCUAAUACCUCAUAAGUCUUUACGGAGAAAGCUUUAUGCGCCAAUGGAUGGGCCUGCACUUGAUUAGUUAGUUGGUAAGGUAAUGGCUUACCAAGACUUUGAUCAAUAGCUGAUUUGAGAGGAUGAUCAGCCACAUUGGGACUGAGACACGGUCCAAACUCCUACGGGAGGCAGCAGUAGGGAAUCUUGCACAACGGAGGAAACUCUGAUGCAGCGAUGCCGCGUGAGUGAAGAAGGCCCUUGGGUUGUAAAGCUCUUUCGUCGGGGAAGAAAAUGACUGUACCCGAAUAAGAAGGUCCGGCUAACUUCGUGCCAGCAGCCGCGGUAAUACGAAGGGACCUAGCGUAGUUCGGAAUUACUGGGCUUAAAGAGUUCGUAGGCGGUUAAAAAAGUUGGUGGUGAAAUCCCAGAGCUUAACUCUGGAACUGCCAUCAAAACUUUUUAGCUAGAGUAUGAUAGAGGAAAGCAGAAUUUCUAGUGUAGAGGUGAAAUUCGUAGAUAUUAGAAAGAAUACCAAUUGCGAAGGCAGCUUUCUGGAUCAUUACUGACGCUGAGGAACGAAAGCAUGGGUAGCGAAGAGGAUUAGAUACCCUCGUAGUCCAUG
This 685-nucleotide ribosomal RNA is filed under the name uncultured Alphaproteobacteria bacterium. RNAcentral's name for it is "bacterial SSU rRNA". It matches the Rfam family "Bacterial small subunit ribosomal RNA", at positions 69 to 799 of the family's 1533-position model. The record is from RNAcentral. Lineage: Bacteria; Pseudomonadati; Pseudomonadota; Alphaproteobacteria.